Molecule: ribosomal RNA, 424 nt
Filed under: uncultured rumen bacterium
Lineage: Bacteria
Description: bacterial SSU rRNA
Rfam family: Bacterial small subunit ribosomal RNA
Source: RNAcentral
GUGAGGAAUAUUGGACAAUGGCCGGAAGGCUGAUCCAGCCAUGCCGCGUGAAGGAUAAGGUCCUAUGGAUUGUAAACUUCUUUUGAGAGGGAGCAAUAAGGUGUACGCGUACACCGAUGAGAGUACCUUUCGAAUAAGCAUCGGCUAACUCCGUGCCAGCAGCCGCGGUAAUACGGAGGAUGCGAGCGUUAUCCGGAUUUAUUGGGUUUAAAGGGUGCGUAGGCGGUUUUUUAAGUCAGCGGUGAAACGCAAGGGCUCAACCCUUGACCUGCCGUUGAAACUGGAGGACUUGAAUGCGGAUGCUGUGGGAGGAAUGUGUGGUGUAGCGGUGAAAUGCAUAGAUAUCACACAGAACACCGAUUGCGAAGGCAUCUCACAAAUCCGUGAUUGACGCUGAGGCACGAAAGUGUGGGGAUCAAACAGG